GAUGAAGAACGCAGCGAAAUGCGAUAAGUAAUGUGAAUUGCAGAAUUCAGUGAAUCAUCGAAUCUUUGAACGCACAUUGCGCCCGCCAGUAUUCUGGCGGGCAUGCCUGUUCGAGCGUCAUUUCAACCGUCAAGCCCCAGGCUUGUGUUGGGGACCUGCGGCUGCCGCAGGCCCUGAAAACCAGUGGCGGGCUCGCUGUCACACCGGGCGUAGUAGAUUUUAUCUCGCUCAGGGCGUGCUGCGGGUCCCGGCCGUUAAAAGCCUUUUUUUACCCAAGGUUGACCUCGGAUCAGGUAGGAAGACCCGCUGAACUUAAGCAUAUCAAUAAGCGGAGGA
This 336-nucleotide unclassified non-coding RNA is filed under the name soil metagenome. RNAcentral's name for it is "partial contains 5.8S ribosomal RNA, internal transcribed spacer 2, and large subunit ribosomal RNA". The stretch from base 1 to 120 matches the Rfam family "5.8S ribosomal RNA", at positions 35 to 154 of the family's 154-position model. The record is from RNAcentral.